Non-coding RNA from Neochlamydia sp. EPS4, 76 nucleotides. The record is from Rfam. NCBI's taxonomy places the organism in Bacteria, Pseudomonadati, Chlamydiota, Chlamydiia, Parachlamydiales, Parachlamydiaceae.
GGGAGCGGUAUGAAUUGAGAGGUUCCUGUACCGUUCUACGAGAGGCUUGUGGGGAAGUUCCACAGGUCGACUCACC